Molecule: ribosomal RNA, 540 nt
Filed under: uncultured bacterium
Lineage: Bacteria
Description: bacterial SSU rRNA
Rfam family: Bacterial small subunit ribosomal RNA
Source: RNAcentral
GAAUACAUCGGAAUUUGCCCAGUCGUGGGGGAUAACGUAGGGAAACUUACGCUAAUACCGCAUACGACGAGAGGUGAAAGCGGGGGAUCUUCGGACCUCGCGCGAGUGGAUGAGCCGAUGUCGGAUUAGCUAGUUGGCGGGGUAAAGGCCCACCAAGGCGACGAUCCGUAGCUGGUCUGAGAGGAUGAUCAGCCACACUGGGACUGAGACACGGGCCAGACUCCUACGGGAGGCAGCAGUGGGGAAUAUUGGACAAUGGGGGCAACCCUGAUCCAGCAAUGCCGCGUGUGUGAAGAAGGCCUUCGGGUUGUAAAGCACUUUUAUCCGGAACGAAACGCGCCAGGUGAAUAGCUUGGGAACUGACGGUACCGGAGGAAUAAGCCCCGGCUAACUUCGUGCCAGCAGCCGCGGUAAUACGAAGGGGGCUAGCGUUGCUCGGAAUGACUGGGCGUAAGGGCGCGUAGCGGAUGGUACAGUCAGAUGUGAAAUUCCUGGGCUUAACCUGGGGGCUGCAUUUGAUACGUGCUGUCUAGAGUGAGG